UGUUGUUUGUUUUGUUGUUGUUGAGGUUUUUUGGGUUUGUUUGUUUGUUUUCUUUUGUUUUUGUUUUUUUUUACUUCCAAAUAAUUUCUAUUGUCAGAUUUGUUUAUCUCUGUGUGUAUGUACAUUCUUACCAUAAUUUGGAGCAGUCCUGAUUUUGUUAGUGUAUUUCUCCUCCACUAUCAGUAUAUUAGAAUAAAAGCUGAAGAGAGAAUGGGAGGAGUAGGUGGUAUCAAAACCUCACAGUUACUUUGUGACUUGGGAGAGGUUUACAUUUUGAGUAGCUUUUCAGGGUUUUGGAAAUGUUUCUGUUUCUCAAUAAAAGGAAAGACAGGGACAGAGUAGUUAUGGGGAGAAGAAGUUCUGUGGAAGUGAAGGCAGAGGAGGCUGGAAACCAGGGCUAUCACCUGGAACCUGCUCUGCCAUUUUCCUUUGAGUGACCUUGUUCGUCAGAAGAAAGCUCUUCUGUGAGGAAACACAGAGCUGGGCUGAAAUGAGGGACAAGGAGCAGUAGAGAGCUUUUCGUUUCCAUAAACUUAGUGAGGGAUGGCACGCAACUUCACUGCACAUGUGAUUAAACUAAUCUAGUUAAAAUCAGAAAAGGAUUUCUCAUAAUUCAAUUGGAGUUGUUUUUAAUGUUUGGACUUUGGUCAAGGACAGCUUUAUUGAUUGAAUUUAAUUGCUUAUAUUUUCCUGUCCAUUUAUUGAAGCCCAUUUUUCAAGUCACUUGAGAGGCUGCUAACAUUUCAGAAAGGGGAUAUGCCAAAGCAUUGCUUUAAUUCAUUAUCUUUUUGGACAUACAGUAGUUGCUACUCGGCCCAAAUUAAAUCCGUUAGAGAAUGUGAUAGCAUAAUUACUUACAGGUAUCCAAAACUGCUUUUAACAGAAUUCUCUAGGAGGUUACGCAUAAGAUUUGUUUUGCCCUUACAUUGGAUGCAAAUGUCUGGGAUUUCAAUGAUAAAUAAAUAUUUCAUCAACUGAGGACAGAUUUUUCUCAUUUCCAUAUGUUGCUGAUGGACUAAAAUUCUUGUGAGGUCUUUAUUUUUUCCUUAAAAAUAAAAGUCUUAUGAAUUAGCUCAGUCACUUUUUCUGAAUGUGUAAACACAGUGACCCUUGAGGUAAAGAGGAAACCACCUGUAAUUCUGACUUGUUUUUUUUUUUUUCUUUUAAACUGUGCUCAACCCUGAAAGACUUGCUAGACAAAACUCCACAUUAUCUUGAUUGCUUCACGCUGUGUUCCGAUGACAUCAAGUCUGUGGUUCUCUAAAAGUUAUGUCAGCCUGAUUCCAAAUGGAGUGAAGGGCUGGAUGUUUCCAGCCUGGAAAGACAUAUGGGUUGGAAAACACCACAGGAAGGUCACCAGUGAGUUGCACUGCAACCCCCCAGUCACAGCCCUUGCUCCUGUAAGCUCUGUCCCUGCUUUCCUGACCUUCCUGCUCCUAUUUCCUCAUCUUCUGCUCCCAGCUGUGGCUUCCUGCCUUGGAGAAGUUCUCAGUCUAACACAGAAAUGGGACAUGAGCAGCUCUGUAAGGACAGAGGAGCAUCUGCUGGCACUUGUGGACCCACUUGGUGUUGGGCUCAGCUCUCUGGCUCUGCACUGAAAGUACCGUGCAUUAUCUUGUGUUUUGUAAAAACUAAAGUUGCAGUGGUUGCAGUUUUCAAGAUUGUAUUUAUUGAUACAAGGUCUAGGCAGAAAAUGUGAAUCUACCUACAAAAACUCACAUUCGGUGCUUUUCAGGUAUCUGUUUUGUUAGGAAGAUGCAUAAGACAAAACUUGGUUUAGCUACAAAAACUUCAAAUCAAACACAAUCCAGACUUACAUAUUAACUUUUCUUAUUUAAGAGAGCAUAAUGCUUCCUUGGAGUGAGACAAGGUUCUCACAAAGACCCCAGGAUUUAUCCUCUUCUUGCAAUAGUUCUGUGGUUAACAGAUGCAAGCUGAAAUACCUGAUGUAUGUAAUACCUCUCCUCCCCCCAGAACACCCAACAUUUAAAUGUUGCCUAAUUCACAAAAGUUUUGCUUCGGAAUCCAGCGAUCAUAUCUGAUAAAAGGCACAAGGAAUUCCUUUCACAAGGAACUGAACCACAGAUGGUUAUGUGAUUUGAGGGCCACUGAACAUCAACAGUUUUACCAAGUGAAUCAGAAUUACAGAAACACCUGCAUGACUGCAUCUGCCGACUCAGCUAAAUUACGCUUCCAUCCAGCCACAUGAUAUUUAAUGUGUAAUUCUUCUGCAUUUUAAUCAAAUGCAUUGUAAUGACAGUACAAAAUUUCAAUAUGAAUGCACCUUAAUGUAGGAGUAACUAAUAGCUACCAUCCAUUAGUACCAGCUAAGAGACAUACUUCCUCCUAAGCAACAGGGGCAUGGUUAUUUUAACUCAUUACCUGCUUUGUAAAUGACAUUUAAUUACAUAUGAAGUGGGGAUGUUCACAGGACACUCCUGGAAAUGCAAGAUUGAGCACCCAGAAGUUAGCAAAUAUUUGAAAGAAUAUUGUAGAAAGGUGUUCCAUGAACCCCUGCGUGGCAAGACAGGCUCUGUGCACUCUUCCCAAAUGGUGCCUCUUCCCUGUAAAACCUGCUCCGACUUUAGCAGUUUAGAGCUGUAAAAUUUUUGCUAAGCACAAGCAAAUGUGAAGUUUCUACAGGUUUUUGAGAGUCAAUGGAUUUUUGAGACUUCCAUAAAACAUUCCUUGAGAAACAGAUGAUGUGGGACACUCUCUUAGUUGUUGUUUUUAAACCAGGUUUACAGGUCAAACUAUGAGAACAGUAACACUGCAAAAUAUUUCCUAGAACCUUUCUUAAGGAUAGAUGAAUUAGUUUGGGUAAAAUUUUUCUAGAAAAAAAUCAGUCUGAUCAAAAAAAUGAAUUUUGGACAAUAUCUCCUAGUGGUUAAUACUAAUUAAAAUUUUGAGCAUCAAAAAUCAGCCUUUAAAACAGAAAAGACUGGCCAACCUUGACUGACCAACCUUAGGAGAUGGAUAACUGUGAGUUACUGUGUGCUGAAAUUGCUCUCAUUUGGCUUUAUCCUGAGAUGUGCCCCUCAGUUCUGAUGCCCACAGGGACUAAAUUCAAGAUUUUGGCCCUGGUACAAGGUCCUGCCCACAGUGGAACUGGGGAGAUCAGGGCCAGAUCUCUGGGAAACAGACACUGCUGUAUCCUGGUGCUCUGUUCAAUGCUUGUUCAUGCUUCUAGUGCCAGUAGGGAAAAUGUGAAAGCAUGGAGUGAGGUAGAAAGUGAAGAUUUAAACGAAGCAAAUUAAUUCCUGAAGGGCUGGCUAUUGAAACACUGUGCUUCCUGCCCAUGUUUGUCUUUACUUCAAUUCAUUGGUCCCUAGUGCACCCAGAAUUAUAGCUCAGUAAACUUCUUCAAGGAUCAUACAUUUAAAAAAAACAACCAUCCAAAAUCUCAAAGUAUGGCUUAAAAGCAGGAAACCUCCUAGCAGAAAAGAGUGAGAGAACACGUCUUGACUUGGUCAUUUCCUCUUUCAGAUGUGGACACAUUUUCAUUACAAAUUACUCUGAAAUCAGUAAUUAUUUUCAUAUGGUUAACAAAAGAUACUGAUUCAACAUUUGCAUCUCCCUGAAUUGCAGUAGAGUGGGAUUACAAAUGGCAGAGAUACAUCAGUUUUAAAAAACAUAUUGAAGACUUCAACUUAAUGAUGGAAAGAGUUCUGUCAUUACUUGAAUGGCAUGUGAAUAUCCACAGAGUGGGGAGCCCACAGUUACCACAAAAGAUGCUAAAAACAGGUACAUGGAAAUAAAAUGUAAAUGCUCAAAGUUAGCUCAGCUUUCCAUUUGUUUUCCUAAGGAGUGAGUGUUAAAGCUCCAACCAUCCUGCCUAGGUGGAACCACAGACAGAGCUCAAACAUCCAAGUCCCACUUAAUUCCUUAAAAGACCUGCCCUUUCUUUAAUGGAGUGACUUAACUGUUUCAUGGCAAACAGAAGAGAACACACAGAAUAAAGCUACUUUAUGCAAUAGCCUUGGAUUCCAGUUUGUGUCUAAGAAAUAUUUACCAUAAGCCUGCAAACUUCUCCAGGCAGCUCCCGUGUGGAAGAAGGAAAGGGAGGUUGCACUCGGUGGUCCUGUUAAGUGCAGUGAUUUCUAAUAACAGCCACAUUUGCUGUGAGUGAUCUGGAUCAACAUCAAAAAAAAAUCCCCAUCUAGUCAAGUGCCCAGCAAGGGGUCUAUUCUCAUGUCCAUGCUCAUAUGUUAAGUCCCAUUGACAAGCAUUAGUGGGAACGGCAUGCACAUAUGGAUAUGUGAAUAGCCCCAAUGGGAUCUGCAUAAAGCAGUGUUUGACUAUACAGAGAUCGCUUCAACUGCCACAAUAAAAUAAUAGAGGGGGGGAAGCCUUAAAGAGUGCUGUGAACAAGCCAAACAAUUAAAGAAAUUGAUAAAUAAUGGCAGUUAAAAAUGAAACAGCAAAAUUAAAACAGCAUUGGAAUCUAUUGUUUGAAAUAAAUACAGAAUGAGAACUAUCUUUAAGAAAUUAACCCUGGCAAAAAUUUAUAAAACAGCUCAUAACUCCAAGUUCUCUAAUUUUUAAAACCUCUUUGACUUCCCCUUACUCUAUAUCCUAAAUAGAAACAAUAGACACAGCAGAAAGCUCUUACUGACAAGAGGUGAGUUAAGAAAUGCACUGAUAAGCAUUGCUCUGCUGAAGAACACGGGACAUGAAAUAGUGGCAGCUCUACAAUAGGUCAAUGAUAAUGAUGCUCCUGAGGUUAUGCAACACCGACAGCCACUGUAUAAAUGUCAGAGCAUUGCAGAAACUUCCUGGAAGUGGUUUCUUGCUACCUGAGAAGGCUCCAGCAGCCAGUCUGCUGGACACCAAAAAUAUCUAAAGGAUUUGUUCUCUUUCUGCAGGAACUCUCCAGAUUUUCCCCUGAAGCUGCUACCUAAUUCAAAAUCCCAUUUUGGAGAUUUUGAGGAUUUUUGAAUGCCAUAUUGAUGAUUUGGAGAACUGUUCUUGCUUAUGCUCACAUAGCUGAAACAACAAAACCCUUCCUGACAGCCACACAUAAAUAGGUGCAAUGAACAAUGAAAUCAUCAAUUAACAAAGCAGGCAGCAAUCACUGCUGUGAUAAGUGCCCAUAUUAAGAACCUAAAUUGAUGUGAUAUGGAAUAGAUGAUAAGCAAAUAAUGGGUAUAAAUCAGGUCUAAUUGUGAUGAAGCUCACUGGUUUCUUACCCUUUUCUGAUGCCCAUAGUGGAAUUCAACUACUGAAUUGCAAGUUAUUGCAGAGUCCUGCAUGUCUAUGAAAGUCUCACUGGCUUCAGACCCAGGUCCAAACUGUUCCAGCAAUGGUGCUUUGGAACAUUCUGAGGUGAAGCAAUCCAUAUGACUGACAGUGAAAGCUCUUAUCUUACAGGAUGUCCUUUUUCAGUGGUCAUUUAGACCAACAGCCAACUUAUUAAUCACAGUAAACCAAAGCUUGUUAGAUCCCUGCUGGCCAAAGCACUUGAGAAGACAAAAGACACCAUGUUCCAGCUGACACCUGCAAGUAAUUACACAUGGUGAUAGCAGUGCCUGAAAGAACAAAUUGAGAACCAAUGCUAAGAGGAGAGGUGCAUUUCUUUUUUAUAGACUGAACUAUUUUCUGAUCUCCAAGUUCCUUAGGGUUUUAGAAAUCAAAGGCAAAUUAAGCAGGGUAAAGAAAAUCAGUUGCCAGGUGUUUAUCUGGAGAAAUUAUAGAUCUCCAGUGAUUUUAACCAGUUCUGAAAGCACACUCCCCUUCUAAGAUGACACUGUAUUUUAUUAUAAGAUUGUUUAAUCAGCGUAACGGCAGAGGGGAACUGCUCCAUGGAGAACAGAAUCUGGAGGCCCACUCUCCCAGAGUGUUUUCUCUACCUACCAACAGAUUUUUCAGUCUGUCUCCAAUAUCUUUGGAUAUCAGAACACAUAUGAGGCAUGACAAAGACAGGCAUGCAUUUUUAGAAGGCAAAAUAUGAUGGCUGAUCCUUUCCUAAAAACCUCCUGGAGAGGAGAGAAGAUGAGAAGAUGAGAAGAUGGCUCCUCCUCUGAAGAGCACAAACAACCACAGCCAGAUAUCCACUUCUGGAAAAUAAUCUACCCCCAGGUUCAACUUUGAAGACUUCUUCAUAUUGAAAGAAAAGAGGAAGAUGAAUUUACAUUCAGAGACUGAGAAAUAAGUCACCAUCAUGUCAUACCGCCACAUCCUGGAUCUAUCAGAUGUUUUAGAGCAAAGCAAGUUUCUCAGAUAACAUCCACCCCAGCAACUAAUUUCAGCUUGUGUUUCAUUUUAAGCUGCUGAGUUGAUUGGUGGGACAAUUUUCUGCACUGAGUCAAUCAGCAGCAUCACUGCAAGGCACAGGCAGGUCCUCAGCCACUGCAUUGAUCUCUGCUUAAGUCCCCGAGACUGUUGAGCUGUCCAGGCUUUGCUUCACUGACAAUUCCAAUGUCCCUCAAACCUCUGGCAUUUGAGUUAUCAAUUAAUAAUUCUGCUCUGUG
Taeniopygia guttata (zebra finch) is the source of this 6470-nucleotide long non-coding RNA. RefSeq lists it as uncharacterized. The record is from RefSeq and is a predicted model, not a curated record. Lineage: Eukaryota; Metazoa; Chordata; Aves; Passeriformes; Estrildidae.